RNAcentral lists this ribosomal RNA (421 nucleotides) under uncultured bacterium. RNAcentral describes it as "bacterial SSU rRNA". It matches the Rfam family "Bacterial small subunit ribosomal RNA", at positions 356 to 774 of the family's 1533-position model. The record is from RNAcentral.
GAGGAAUAUUGGGCAAUGCCCGCAAGGGUGACCCAGCAACGCCGCGUGGAGGAUGAAUGUCGUAAGAUUGUAAACUCCUGUUAGAGGGGAAGAAUAGUACCGGUUGGACCGGUAUAUGACUGUACCCUCAGAGAAAGCCCCGGCUAACUACGUGCCAGCAGCCGCGGUAAUACGUAGGAACCAAGCGUUGUUCGGAUUUACUGGGCGUAAAGGGCGCGUAGGCGGCAAUUCAAGUCAGCUGUGAAAUCUCUGGGCUUAACCCGGAACGGCCAGCUGAUACUGCUUUGCUAGAGUGCGGAAGGGGCAAUCGGAAUUCUUGGUGUAGCGGUAAAAUGCGUAGAUAUCAAGAGGAACACCUGAGGUGAAGACGGGUUGCUGGGCCGACACUGACGCUGAGGCGCGAAAGCCAGGGGAGCAAACG